CAGUCGCCGCGGUAAUACAGAGACUGCAAGCGUUACUCGGAAUCACUGGGCGUAAAGGGAGCGCAGGCGGACCGAUGUGUCAGGUGUGAAACUCCGGAGCUCAACUCCGGGACUGCGCCUGAAACUGUCGGUCUAGGGACUCGGAGGGGCUAGUGGAAUUCCUGGUGGAGCAGUGAAAUGCGUAGAUAUCAGGAGGAACACCAACGGCGAAGGCAGCUAGCUGGACGAGAUCCGACGCUCAGGCUCGAAAGUAUGGGGAGCAAAAAGGAUUAGAUACCUCGGUAGUCCCUGUCUCUUAUAC
This 301-nucleotide ribosomal RNA is filed under the name uncultured bacterium. Its description in RNAcentral is "partial 16S ribosomal RNA". It matches the Rfam family "Bacterial small subunit ribosomal RNA", at positions 509 to 807 of the family's 1533-position model. The record is from RNAcentral.